Molecule: unclassified non-coding RNA, 1083 nt
Filed under: Hevea brasiliensis (rubber tree)
Lineage: Eukaryota; Viridiplantae; Streptophyta; Magnoliopsida; Malpighiales; Euphorbiaceae
Source: RNAcentral
UGUAACUUUAGUUUUUUUUUUUUCAAAUUUUAUAUAGUAAUGAUUGCAUUUGCUUGUAAUGAAUGAAUAUCUCAACCUCGAGAAAUUUCAGGGAAUAUCAUAAUACACAGCAUAUGCCAUAGCAUUUUAAACAAAAUAAUAUGCUUUACAAGACAUAAAAAUUCACUUCAUUUUCUUGGCACAACACACAAAAACACAGUUAUGCAAACUUACUUUUUUAUGGGAUUUUCAAAUUUUCAACGUUAGUAUUAGCAUAAUUUAAUUUAAAUUUAUCUUCUAUCAAUUAUUUGAAAAACAACUACAAACAAAGAAUACGAACCUGCAUUGUCCAACAAUGUAAUCUCCCACAUCGAACUCACCAAGUAAAGGUUUAAUGUCUUCACUUCUAUCCAUUGCAAACAGUGGCUUACCAGAUGAUGCUGGUUGACUAUCAUUUCCAUCCAAACAGGAUGGUGCUAAUUUCUCCAUUUCAAUCUUUACAAUAGUGCCAUCCGUCUGGUAAUUCUCGUUAACAAAGCUGGAUUCUUCCUGUUGUUGUUGACCACACAAAAUAGACUGAAGCGUUGAAGUUGUAGUGCCAUAAAUAUUCAAUGGCGAGACCUGCAAACGAUGAGAAGCUAGUCGCUGAUAAAAUGCAAUCAGCUGGCGAGCACGGCUAAGCUGGAGCUGAUAAAUUUCAAUUUGGUCUUCCAAACGAGUGAUAAUUCGGUAACAACCACCAGCGGGGUCCCUAGCACGAGCAUUAGCUUGAUAGAUCAUAGACUUGACGGCGUUCUUCUUCUCAUCGAAAGUAUGCAGUUUCUUAAGAGUUUUCAAGAUGUUGCUUACGCCAAACAGUUUGUGGGCAUUAAGAAAAUCAGAGGAGUGAUUGGAAGGAAAAUGGGGAGCGAGAGGACAAUCGGCUGCACAUCUUUUACGUAAGUAUUUACAUGCAGCACAAGCUUGAGAUCCAGCAGAAGCACCGGCGGUCAUGAUAAUUUAUCGGCGUUUUUGCCCAUAUAUUAUAUAGAAUAUUUCGGCGGUGUAUGGAGAGAAACCAGGACUGAGAGCAUAAAAACAGGGAACCUAGAAGUUAAACCGUAC